This is a long non-coding RNA of Triticum dicoccoides, 1344 nucleotides long. RefSeq lists it as uncharacterized. The transcript is spliced from 3 exons. The record is from RefSeq and is a predicted model, not a curated record. NCBI's taxonomy places the organism in Eukaryota, Viridiplantae, Streptophyta, Magnoliopsida, Poales, Poaceae.
ACCGUUCAUCACCGAACGGCGUCGUCCGGUCAUAAUUGCCCCAGCUACUCACUCGCCAUCCGCCCACCGCGUCCAUUUAUUUUCUCCAAGCAUCCUCAGUGCUCACCCAUCCCCAUCUGCAAUCUCAUCCUCUCCGCCAUGUCUGCCUCGUCGUCAACCUCUCUCCCUGUCCUAGCGGAUUGUCCCCUCCCUCUCAUGCGUUGCCCAUUCUGCGGGGACUAGGUUGUGACGAACGUAGCGAGAUCCGGUCAGCAGGCAGGGGAUCGGUUCUACAAAUGCGUGUUGUACGAUGCACAGCAGUGUCGUUUCUUCGAGUUCCAGCAACUGUACUGCAGUGAGCAACAUCAUGCUCACUGCGCUCGUUAUGGUGGCUGUACUUGCUAAGUAGGAGUGGGUGAGGCUGAACCUGUACUCACUGUGUGUGAUGGAUCGCGUCGAGACGCCUGUUUAUGCGUCUGUUUAGUUUGAUAGGCAAAUUAAUUUAGGGUGGCUCCCUCUACCGCUAAGCCUGUUUACCCAGCCAGUCCUAAACCCUAAACACCAUGUCGUCCGCAGGACGAACACAGAUCUGAGUCCGGCAGCUGCGGAGCAGACGCGGAUGGAUCUGGCAGUGGGCGACCGGAUGCAGCUCAGUCGGUGCCCGCGCAAGGCCCAGAUGGCUCGACAUCUAGCGCCAGGGAGAGAGAGACACCUCCGCCAACUUCACGCAUAUCGGUCAAGCACGCGGUGAGUGUAAUCAAGACUUUUGAUGACUACAAGAGAUGGCUAGUAGGGCAAAUUGGAUUUGGAGGGAUGCUGAAGCUGCCGGACAUUCAGAAACUAAAUCUGAAGUGCAGCACGUGGAUAAUGAGCAGAGUGAGCGUCAGUCGCAGGGAGAUUAAGCUUAGGGAUAAUAAGGUUAUCAAGUUCUACGCCGAGGAUCUUUACAAGGUGUUUGGGAUCCCAUGUGGCCAUCGUAAUGUGAAAGGCAGAGAUGCGAACAUCAACCCUGAGGCAGUUCAUUUCAUAAAGACGACUUUGCAGAUGAACAAAACAGGCGUCCACAGCUUGCGGGCAGCCGAAGAUUUUCUGUUGCGGGACAUCAAUGAGAAUUCAAGCAAGCUAGAGAAAGAUUGUUUCCAGAUUGCCUUCGUUAUUUUUAUCAUGGGACAUGUGCUAGUGCCUACCACCAAGCAUAACUACACUAAUAUCGAUUUCUGGGGGGCAAUAGCAAACACUGAGUCGAUAGAUCAAUUCAAUUGGUGUGAGUAUGUUCUCCUGCAUCUGCUAGCUGCAGUGAAGGAGGUGAAGAGAGAUAUGAUGGCCAAUAGUUUGUCCACAAAUCUAACUGGUUGCCAUUUGUUC